CGGGACGGGUGAGUAACGCGUGGGUAACCGGCCUCAUACAGGGGGAUAACAGUUAGAAAUAGGCUGCUAAUACCGCAUAAGACCACAGUACUGGCAUGGUACAGUGGUAAAAACUCCGGUGGUAUGAGAUGGACCCGCGUCUGAUUAGGUAGUUGGUGAGGUAACGGCCCACCAAGCCGACGAUCAGUAGCCGACCUGAGAGGGUGACCGGCCACAUUGGGACUGAGACACGGCCCAG
Molecule: ribosomal RNA, 238 nt
Filed under: uncultured bacterium
Lineage: Bacteria
Description: partial 16S ribosomal RNA
Rfam family: Bacterial small subunit ribosomal RNA
Source: RNAcentral